RNAcentral lists this ribosomal RNA (643 nucleotides) under uncultured Actinomycetes bacterium. RNAcentral describes it as "bacterial SSU rRNA". It matches the Rfam family "Bacterial small subunit ribosomal RNA", at positions 232 to 885 of the family's 1533-position model. Lineage: Bacteria; Bacillati; Actinomycetota; Actinomycetes. The record is from RNAcentral.
CGCGGCCUAUCAGCUUGUUGGCGGGGUAAUGGCCCACCAAGGCGACGACGGGUAGCCGGCCUGAGAGGGCGACCGGCCACACUGGAACUGAGACACGGUCCAGACUCCUACGGGAGGCAGCAGUGGGGAAUAUUGCACAAUGGGCGAAAGCCUGAUGCAGCGACGCCGCGUGGGGGAUGAAGGCCUUCGGGUUGUAAACCCCUUUCAGCAGGGAAGAAGCGAAAGUGACGGUACCUGCAGAAGAAGCGCCGGCUAACUACGUGCCAGCAGCCGCGGUAAUACGUAGGGCGCAAGCGUUGUCCGGAAUUAUUGGGCGUAAAGAGUUCGUAGGCGGUUUGUCGCGUCUGCUGUGAAAUCCCGAGGCUCAACCUCGGGACUGCAGUGGGUACGGGCAAACUAGAGUGUGGUAGGGGAAACUGGAAUUCCUGGUGUAGCGGUGGAAUGCGCAGAUAUCAGGAGGAACACCGAUGGCGAAGGCAGGUUUCUGGGCCACAACUGACGCUGAGGAACGAAAGCAUGGGGAGCGAACAGGAUUAGAUACCCUGGUGGUCCAUGCCGUAAACGGUGGGCACUAGAUGUGGGGGCCAUUCCAUGGUUUCCGCGUCGCAGCUAACGCAUUAAGUGCCCCGCCUGGGGAGUACGG